This 450-nucleotide ribosomal RNA is filed under the name uncultured bacterium. RNAcentral describes it as "bacterial SSU rRNA". It matches the Rfam family "Bacterial small subunit ribosomal RNA", at positions 27 to 505 of the family's 1533-position model. The record is from RNAcentral.
GGACGAACGCUUGCGGCGUGCCUAAGAAAUGCAAGUCGAACGGGGGCUUCGGCCCCAGUGGCGAACGGUCGCGUAACACGUAAGCAACCUGCCCUGAAGUGGGGGACAACAUUCCGAAAGGGGUGCUAAUACCGCAUGUGGUCACGAGUCGGCAUCGACUUGUGUCUAAAGAUUUAUCGCUUCAGGAUGGGCUUGCGGCCUAUCAGGUAGUUGGUGGGGUAAUGGCCUACCAAGCCGACGACGGGUAGCUGGUCUGAGAGGACGAUCAGCCGGAUUGGGACUGAGAUACGGCCCAGACUCCUACGGGGGGCAGCAAUUAGGAAUCUUGCGCAAUGGGGGAAACCCUGACGCAGCGACGUCGCGUGAAGGAUGAAGGCCCUCGGGUCGUAAACCUCUUUUGAGUGGGAAGAAAUUUGACGGUACCACUCGAAUAAGCCCCGGCUAACUACG